UACAGAGGGGGCAAGCGUUGUUCGGAAUUACUGGGCGUAAAGGGCGCGUAGGCGGCCUUCUAAGUCGAACGUGAAAUCCCCGGGCUCAACCCGGGAACUGCGUCCGAUACUGGAAGGCUUGAAUCCGGGAGAGGGAUGCGGAAUUCCGGGUGUAGCGGUGGAAUGCGUAGAGAUCCGGAAGAACACCGGUGGCGAAGGCGGCCUGCUGGGCAGUGGCUGACACUGAGGCGCGAAAGCGUGGGGAGCAAACAGG
This 253-nucleotide ribosomal RNA is filed under the name uncultured bacterium. RNAcentral's name for it is "partial 16S ribosomal RNA". It matches the Rfam family "Bacterial small subunit ribosomal RNA", at positions 524 to 776 of the family's 1533-position model. The record is from RNAcentral.